This 472-nucleotide unclassified non-coding RNA is filed under the name Melitaea cinxia (Glanville fritillary). Its description in RNAcentral is "misc RNA ENSMCXG00005005046.1". The record is from RNAcentral. Lineage: Eukaryota; Metazoa; Arthropoda; Insecta; Lepidoptera; Nymphalidae.
CGAACACUUAACUUUUAUUUAUUACUAAUUUUUACAAACACAACAAUUAUCGAGAAAUUAACCUUAACCACGAACUUAAUCGAAAAUAAUGACCGAGAAUUACAAUUUAAAUUAACCAAGCAAACAACCAUUACUUUGAAUAUAAAAAUGAUCAACGGACUCGUCAUGAAACAACGACCUAUCGUUCCGAAAGCCGAGAAGCAAAUGAGCCCUCUGAACGGGUAGGGACUGCUUUUAUUGACGUUGUUGCAUGACGUUACAAAACGUAUUAGCGGGUAGGGAACUAUUUUUAUUAACACUGUUGCACGACGUCACGAAACGUAUUAAAAUAAUCGAUAUUAUGCUAACACGGCCUCUCCUGACCGCGCGCCGUCCCCGGCGUGACAAAGCCAGCCCCGCGGCCACGAACCCGCCUCUCCAGCGUGGCGACCACGGGCAAAACACACGAGUUCACGCCACGCUUGGCGCAAAC